Molecule: ribosomal RNA, 536 nt
Filed under: Rhodnius neglectus
Lineage: Eukaryota; Metazoa; Arthropoda; Insecta; Hemiptera; Reduviidae
Description: partial 16S ribosomal RNA
Rfam family: Bacterial large subunit ribosomal RNA
Source: RNAcentral
CAAAAACAUGUCCUUUUGAAAAUAUUUAUAUAAGGUCUAGCCUGCCCAAUGAGGGGUUGAAUGGCUGCGGUAUUCUAACCGUGCUAAGGUAGCAUAAUCAUUUGUCUUUUAAUUGAGGGCUUGUAUGAAAGGUUGGAUGAAGUAAUGACUUUCUUUAAUUUAAUUUAUGAAUUUAAUUUUUAGGUUAAAAAGCUAAAAUGUUUUUAUAGGACGAGAAGACCCUAUAGAUCUUUACAAUUUAUUAGGUAUAAUGAUUUGGUGAGUUAUUUAUUAUUAUUUAAUAAUCCUGUUUGGUUGGGGUGAUUGUGGAAUUAUUUUAACUUCCAUUGUUUAUUUUUCAAGGAUUAUUGUUUUUUUGAUCCAUUAAUGAUGAUUAAAAGAUUAAGUUACCUUAGGGAUAACAGCGUAAUUUCUUCGGAGAGUUCAUAUUGAUGGGGGAGUUUGCGACCUCGAUGUUGGAUUAAAAUUAGUGUUAGGUGUAGCAGCUUAAUAACUAGGUCUGUUCGACCUUUAAAGUUUUACAUGAUCUGAGUUCA